AUUGUUUCUCGGCCUUUCUCGGCUAAGAUCAAGUGUAGUAUCUGUUCUCGUUAGUUUAAAAAGUCAAUCCUCACUAUAAGCUUGUAUACAGGGAUCGGCCAUGCAUGUCUUCUUGACUUCCAUAUCCCUCAUCUAGUCAAAUGUCUGACACAAAAUAGGCAUUUAAUAUUUGUUAAAUGACCAUGGUUUCAUAAACAUCA
Phyllostomus hastatus (greater spear-nosed bat) is the source of this 200-nucleotide small nuclear RNA. RefSeq annotates it as U2 spliceosomal RNA. The transcript has a single exon. NCBI's taxonomy places the organism in Eukaryota, Metazoa, Chordata, Mammalia, Chiroptera, Phyllostomidae. The record is from RefSeq and is a predicted model, not a curated record.